AUGGUGUCCUUUGCAGCUGCCACUUUUUCCAUGCUUGAUUGGAAGGAGAAGGCAACAAAGAGAAUAAUGAAAGUGCAGAACAAUAGAAGUGGAGGGGAAUGGGAUCGCUUGGUCAUUCAAGCAGUAAUUGUUACCAGAACCAUUGUAGACGUUUCCAAAGCUCUAUCAACGUUGUUGCUUGCAGCAUUUGGGGGAAAACAAGCGUAUUGA
Molecule: ribosomal RNA, 210 nt
Filed under: Triticum aestivum (bread wheat)
Lineage: Eukaryota; Viridiplantae; Streptophyta; Magnoliopsida; Poales; Poaceae
Description: partial small subunit ribosomal RNA
Source: RNAcentral